GCCCUCGUAGCUCAAAGGAUAGAGCAAUUCCCUUCUAAGGAAGAGGUUGGGGGUUCGACUCCCUCCGGGGGCGCCA
This 76-nucleotide transfer RNA is filed under the name candidate division WWE3 bacterium RAAC2_WWE3_1. RNAcentral's name for it is "tRNA-Arg (TCT) (tRNA-Arg-TCT-1-1)". It matches the Rfam family "tRNA". From Rfam's summary of the family: Transfer RNA (tRNA) molecules are approximately 80 nucleotides in length. Lineage: Bacteria; candidate division WWE3. RNAcentral also lists the same sequence under 6 other names. The record is from RNAcentral.